AAUCAAGUGCCUUAAGGGUGUUCGGUGAUGCCU
This 33-nucleotide ribosomal RNA is filed under the name Bradyrhizobium sp. Crj-2. Its description in RNAcentral is "partial 23S ribosomal RNA". Lineage: Bacteria; Pseudomonadati; Pseudomonadota; Alphaproteobacteria; Hyphomicrobiales; Nitrobacteraceae. The record is from RNAcentral.